AAGACCCUUCCCCCUCACCUCUCAACAGGGAAGACCCUUCCCCCUCACCUCUCAACAGGGAAGACCAGUCCCUGUCACCUCUCAACAGGGAAGACCCUUCCCCCUCACCUCUCAACAGGGAAGACCCUUCCCCCUCACCUCUCAACAGGGAAGACCAUUCCCUGUCACAUCUCAACAGGGAAGACCCUUCACCUCAACUCAAAAUCCACUUGUCUGACUCUCUAGAGCAUUUCCCCUGGACAGCCAUGAAGAUGAAAAUUGGCCAAUCAUCUCGAUAAGGAUAAUAAAAUCAGAACGGAUGCACAGAUGAUUAAAGAUAUUGUGACCCUGAAUAACAAUUGUGGGAAAUACUUUGUUAUCAAGAACAAUUGUGAGCAUAUUGCCACAACAAUUCGCUAUGGUGAGGCUGUCUGCUUGCAGCAAGGUUCCAAUCCACUUACUGAAACUGUGGCCAGAUUCUGCUGUGCCACCAAUAGAGUUGCCGAAACACUCAAGAAGAAACAGAAGAGGGGGCGUGGCAGAAGAGGUCUUGGUCUCCUACAUGAUGAAACCGGUGACAACCAGGGUGCACCAGCUGCUUGAGAUCUUAACCUCUCAGAUGUUCUCUCUCUCUUCCAUCCUCUCUGUCUCUGUAUCAAGUGAGGUCUAAACCUCUCAGAUGUUCUCUCUCUCUUCCAUCCUCUCUGUAUGACAUGAGGUCUAAACCUCUCAGAUGUUCUCUCUCUCUUCCAUCCUCUCUGUCUCUGUAUGAAGUGAGUUCUAAACCUCUCAGAUGUUCUCUCUCUCUUCCAUCCUCUCUGUCUCUGUAUGAAGUGAGGUCUAAACCUCUCAGAUGUUCUCUCUCUCUUCCAUCCUCUCUG
This 860-nucleotide long non-coding RNA is filed under the name Salmo salar (Atlantic salmon). RNAcentral's name for it is "lncRNA (ENSSSAG00000097076.1)". The record is from RNAcentral. Lineage: Eukaryota; Metazoa; Chordata; Actinopteri; Salmoniformes; Salmonidae.